UACGUAGGGUGCCAGCGUUGUCCGGAAUUAUUGGGCGUAAAGAGCUCGUAGGCGGUCUGUCGCGUCGAUCGUGAAAACUUGGGGCUUAACCCUGAGCUUGCGGUCGAUACGGGCAUGACUGGAGUUCGGCAGGGGAGACUGGAAUUCCUGGUGUAGCGGUGAAAUGCGUAGAUAUCGGGAGGAACACCUGUGGCGAAAGCGGCUCACUGGACCAUUACUGACGCUGAGGCGCGAAAGCUAGGGGAGCAAACAGG
RNAcentral lists this ribosomal RNA (254 nucleotides) under uncultured bacterium. RNAcentral's name for it is "partial 16S ribosomal RNA". It matches the Rfam family "Bacterial small subunit ribosomal RNA", at positions 524 to 776 of the family's 1533-position model. The record is from RNAcentral.